CUGAAUCUGAGGCUGGAAGGAAUAGGGCAGAUUUGAGGUAGUGUGAAAAGGCCGUCUGUGAUGGACAUGUGUGCAGAGCCAGGAACAAAGCCAUUCCGUUAUUUUACACAGCGGAUAAAAUGAGCUUUCUGAAGAGAACGGACAGGAGGAAGAGUUAAAAUAUUGUAUGGAAAAUUCAAACAGAAGACAGGUACAAGAAAGAGACCAUGAGCAAGGAUCCAGGUGUUGCUGAAACUAGAAUGUGAAUCUGUGUGUGAGUGACCAGGAUCGUAAAGGUAGACUUACUCAUGGGAUGAGAAGGAAGCUACGUAGUAUUCCUGUGAUACCUCCAUCGCCAUGGGAGCCAAGGUGGGUUAUUGGCAGGAAGACAGAGAGUGCCCAUGGUGGAAGAACAGUGUUCAUGUGGAGAAGCGAUUCUACGACAGAUGCAUGAGUUCAGGUGAUCAGUAGGAACACCCUUGUAACCACCAUGAACUUGGAUCGUCAGCACUCGGUCUUCAUCAAUUCCAGCCCAGCAGCGCUGACAAAGGAAGCCCAUUGCUUACAUUUCUCAACAUGGUACAUGCCAGGCAGGCAGCCCAAGUGUCAGCCCAAACCUAUCUCUGAUUUCACACCCGGCCUGGCAUGGUUGGUAAUGAUCCAGACGUGGGCUCUGAGCACAAGGUCUGGGACAGUGUAUUGCGUCUUCCACUGACUGCCUGAGUGCUUCUUGCUUACGUCACCACUCUAAACCAUCAAUCCAAAAUGGGGACAUUAACUGUUGUUA
Molecule: long non-coding RNA, 766 nt
Organism: Neofelis nebulosa (Clouded leopard)
Lineage: Eukaryota; Metazoa; Chordata; Mammalia; Carnivora; Felidae
Exons: 4
Source: RefSeq, a predicted model, not a curated record